This 907-nucleotide ribosomal RNA is filed under the name uncultured crenarchaeote. RNAcentral's name for it is "bacterial SSU rRNA". It matches the Rfam family "Archaeal small subunit ribosomal RNA", at positions 1 to 884 of the family's 1478-position model. The record is from RNAcentral. Lineage: Archaea; Thermoproteati; Thermoproteota.
UUCCGGUUGAUCCUGCCGGACCCCACUGCUAUCGGGAUAGGACUAAGACAUGCAAGUCAAGCGCUUUCUAGCUAAUGUGAGAGCGCGGCGUACAGCUCAGUAACACGUGGCCAACCUGCCCUUGGGACGGGAACACCCCCGGGAAACUGGGGUUAAUUCCCGAUAGGUGAAGAAGUCUGGAAUGACUCUUCGCUCAAAAGACGUUUAUGUCAUGCUCAUAUUCGUCGCCCAGGGAUGGGGCCGCGACCGAUCAGGUUGUUGGUGAGGCAAUGGCUCACCAAGCCUUUUACCGGUGCGGGCCGUGAGAGCGGGAGCCCGGAGAUGGGCACUGAGACAAAGGCCCAGGCCCCACGGGGCGCAGCAGUCGCGAAAAUUUUGCAAUACACGAAAGUGUGACAGAGCUAUCCCGAGUGCCAUCCGCUGGGGAAGGCUUUUACCCAGUAUAAAUAGCUGGGAGAAUAAGGAGAGGGCAAGUCUGGUGUCAGCCGCCGCGGUAAUACCAGCUCUCCGAGUAGUGUGGACGUUUAUUGGGCCUAAAGCAUCCGUAGCUUGCUAGAUAAGUCCUCUGUUAAAUCCACCGAUUCAAUCGUUGAAUUGCGGGGGAUACUGUUUGGCUAGGGGACGGGAGAGGUCGACGGUAUUUCCGGGGUAGGGGUGAAAUCCUAUAAUCCCGGGAGGACCACCAGUGGCGAAGGCUGUCGACUAGAACGCGCCCGACGGUGAGGGAUGAAAGCUGGGGGAGCGAACCGGAUUAGAUACCCGGGUAGUCCCAGCUGUAAACGAUGCAGCUAGGUGGGUUUGGGCGGGCCACGAGCCGCCCUAGUGCCGCAGGGAAGCUGUUAAGCCUGCCGCCUGGGGAGUACGGCCGCAGGCUGAACUUAAAGGAAUUGGCGGGGGAGCACCACAG